UCCACAUUGAAAUACUGUGUGUAUGAUGACACACUGAAUACCCCUUUCCAAUUGUUAGGUGGUUGUUGCUCAAAUCCUUCCGGUGGACUUCGAAGAGUUUGAUAACCCCGGCUGCUACCUCCUCCAUUAUUAUUUGAUAGGAAUGUUUGCAUAUUUGCUUCAGGGACUUCACAGGUGAUGUUACUUUUUUCUUCACUGACCACAGCAGGA
This 210-nucleotide unclassified non-coding RNA is filed under the name Hevea brasiliensis (rubber tree). Lineage: Eukaryota; Viridiplantae; Streptophyta; Magnoliopsida; Malpighiales; Euphorbiaceae. The record is from RNAcentral.